UCUGCCCCACGUCGUUACAGUCGCUGCGAAACCACCAUGUACGUUGCUACUACUCGUCGGAAUAAAGCCGCCGGCUGAAGAUCAACUCCGACUGCCAUUAUCUGUGGAAACACAACCAGGAAAUAAAGAAGGCGGCUCGAGUCAACCGGGACACAAAUAAGACAAGGCAAAGGUAAAUAGUCCUUUGGAGCAAAUCUUGGACCGGAGGAACGAACACACAUCGCGCCGUUUAAUUGCUUCCGCUCGUCAAGUUCUAAAGGGUGAUAGUGUCUUUUGAUUAAUGGAUUUUUUUUUUAUUAUGAUGUAAUGGUUACAAUUUUUAUGUCUUUUGGAACGUGUCGUAGAAUUUAGUUGGAAUGAUGAUUGUUAAAAGCAGGGAAUCACUUAUAGUACGAACGGGUCAUACCCAUUUUUUGUUAAAAUUAGUAUGUCAUUAUUUUUA
Molecule: long non-coding RNA, 442 nt
Organism: Helianthus annuus (common sunflower)
Lineage: Eukaryota; Viridiplantae; Streptophyta; Magnoliopsida; Asterales; Asteraceae
Exons: 3
Source: RefSeq, a predicted model, not a curated record